ACUCUAAGGAGACUGCCGGUGACAAACCGGAGGAAGGUGGGGAUGACGUCAAGUCAUCAUGGCCCUUACGGCCUGGGCUACACACGUGCUACAAUGGUCGGUACAAAGGGUUGCCAAGGCCGCGAGGUGGAGCUAACUCCCAUAAAACCGACUCGUAGUCCGGAUCGCAGUCUGCAACUCGACUGCGUGAAGUCGGAAUCGCUAGUAAUCGUGAAUCAGAAUGUCACGGUGAAUACGUUCCCGGGCCUU
RNAcentral lists this ribosomal RNA (249 nucleotides) under uncultured Pseudomonas sp. RNAcentral's name for it is "partial 16S ribosomal RNA". It matches the Rfam family "Bacterial small subunit ribosomal RNA", at positions 1137 to 1382 of the family's 1533-position model. The record is from RNAcentral. Lineage: Bacteria; Pseudomonadati; Pseudomonadota; Gammaproteobacteria; Pseudomonadales; Pseudomonadaceae.